This is an RNA transcript of Prosopis cineraria, 1072 nucleotides long. It is a transcript of the gene named MADS-box protein JOINTLESS-like, with no coding region annotated. Lineage: Eukaryota; Viridiplantae; Streptophyta; Magnoliopsida; Fabales; Fabaceae. The transcript has 10 exons. The record is from RefSeq and is a predicted model, not a curated record.
GCCUGUCUGCCGUCUCCUCCAGGACCAAGUUUCCUCAAUCUCACCAAGAAGUUCCGUUUGCUCUCCUCUCCAAGACUCUCUCUCUCUCUCUCUCUCUCUCUCUCUCUCUCUCGAUCUCGAUCUCGAUCUCGAUCUCGACACAGUCAGCCCAUUGCGGAAUAUUCUGUUUGAAAUGACGAGAAGAAAGAUAGCAAUAGAGAAAAUAGAGAACGUAGCAGCGAGGCAAGUGGCUUUCUCAAAGAGGAGGAAAGGUCUGUUCAAGAAGGCCGUGGAGCUCUCUACUCUCUGUGACGCUGAGAUUGCACUCUUCGUGUUUUCUGCUUCUGGCAAACUCUUUGAUUACUCUAGUACAAGCAUGAGGCAGGUUAUUGAAAGGAGAAACUUGUACUCGGAUGUGAUCCUUGCCAAGUCAUGCCAACCAUCCCAAGAGGUGCAGGUUGAAGGUGAAUAUUUCAAGGUAAACAAGGAACUAAGAGAUAAGACUCUCGAAGUGAGACGGCUCAAUGGAGAAGAACUGCAAGACUUGUCCUUAAAAGACCUAAGAAAACUAGAAGAUUUACUCAGCACAAGCUUGCAUCGAAUUUCAAAAGCAAAGGUUGAAGUAUAUGAGCAGGAGAUCAAUAUUCUUCAAAAAAAGGAAUAUUUUAUUCAAUGGAACAACCUGGGCUUAGUACGUUGUGAGUCUUCAUUCAUGUCUCUGUUUUGUUUUGAUAAUGUGUUUCAUUUUGAUGUCAAUAAAGGAAGCCGAACUCACAGAAGAAAACCAGAGACUAAUUAAGGUGGUCAGGAAAUCAAAUCCAUGGAAGAAAACGAGACAUUAGAUCAGGCCCAAUGGUUUGAGCAUGAACAAGGCCAGGCAUUAGACAGUUCUUUCACAAUGAGGUUACUCUUUCCCUGAAUCAAAUUAAAGCCUCUAAAGGAAGAAGAGCAAUGCCAGAACUUUUUAAAAAAAAAUUAUGCACUGAAAACUGAAGUACAGUGCUUGAUUAAUUAUGAAUAAUGGCCAAUAAUGUUAUAUAUAUGUGGAUAGCUCUGUUUCAACUUAAUUAGUUAUUCUAGAUUCGUAAGGUUG